RNAcentral lists this long non-coding RNA (701 nucleotides) under Marmota monax (woodchuck). Lineage: Eukaryota; Metazoa; Chordata; Mammalia; Rodentia; Sciuridae. The record is from RNAcentral.
CUUGUUUCUGCUUCAGGUACAGUUAUGGUUCUACACAUAGAGAACAAAGUGAUGGUAAGAAUUCAAAGAUGAAGCCAAAAUCUACCAGAUCCCAGAGUAAAUGUUAAAAUCUUGGGUAUCUAAGGGGAUGGUACAUUCCACUCCAGAACUGGGUUCACUGUGCACUGCUGAAGGAAGAGAGUCCUUCCAGGGGCCCUGAGAUGUAAGGACUGUAGGGCUGCAGACACAAACACACAGGUACUUUUUACCCUAGACCUCACAGACUUCCAAUCAACUUCAUGAUAUCACCUGAAUGAAGAUUUGGAGGUUUUUGAACAUUGGUUCAAUUUGAGCCACUGCCUGAAUGUAAAUGUGACAUGGAGAUUCUGCCCUAGUGGAAUUUCUCUGAUGGACUUUGACAUCCACAAUGACCGCCUGGUCUCCCCAACCUCUUUUUUAGAGUCUCACAAGCUGUUGGCCGCUGAUUUGAUGAGUAUCAUCGCCCCCCCUCUGAGGGAAAGGCUCAGGUAUACACAACAUGAACCACUGCAGCAGAGCCAAGGUGGGAACUUUCCUAGAUACCAGGUGAAGUACUGGUUGACUGUCCAUUUAUGCACAAGCACAUACUCUCUCUCACACACACAGAUCAGGGGGUGGAGAGAAGCCUUUUAGGAUGGGGAACACAUGUGUCCUUCAGAGCUUCUCUCAGUGGUCACUGUCUC